GUGCCAGCAGCCGCGGUAAUACAGGGGGGGCAAGCGUUGUUCGGAAUUACUGGGCGUAAAGGGGUUGUAGGCGGCCAAUUAAGUCCGAUGUGAAAUCCCAAAGCUUAACUUUGGAACUGCGUCGGAUACUGGAUGGCUUGAAUUCGGGAGAGGGAUGCAGAAUUCCAGGUGUAGCGGUGAAAUGCGUAGAUAUCUGGAGGAAUACCGGUGGCGAAGGCGGCAUCCUGGACCGACAUUGACGCUCUAAACCGAAAGCUAGGGGAGCAAACGGGAUUAGAAACCCCUGUAGUCC
Molecule: ribosomal RNA, 292 nt
Filed under: uncultured bacterium
Lineage: Bacteria
Description: partial 16S ribosomal RNA
Rfam family: Bacterial small subunit ribosomal RNA
Source: RNAcentral